This 4811-nucleotide long non-coding RNA is filed under the name Sus scrofa (pig). Its description in RNAcentral is "lncRNA (ENSSSCG00025033341.1)". Lineage: Eukaryota; Metazoa; Chordata; Mammalia; Artiodactyla; Suidae. The record is from RNAcentral.
AGUGGUAAAUGACUCCAACUAGGAACCACGAGGUUGUGGGUUCAGUCCCUGGCCUCGCUCAGAGAGUUAAGGAGCCAGCGGUACUGUGAGCUGUGGUGUAGGUCGCAGAUGUGGCUUGGAUCCUGCAUUGCUGUGGCUAUGGCUGUGGCCGGCAGCUGUAGCUCCAUUGCAACACUUAGCCUGGGAACCUCCACAUGCUGCAGGUGUGGCCCUAAAAAGCAAAAAAAAAAAAAAUUUUUAAAUACAAAAUAAGAAUCCUCUGGUGGCCUAGCAGUUAAGGAUUCAGUGUUGUCACUGCUAAGGAUCAGGUUGGAUCCCUGGCCCAGGAACUUCCAUAUGUCAUGGGUGUGGUCAAAAAAAAAAGAAAAAGAAAAUACAAAAUAGAAAUAUAAGUAGUGCAAGAGAAUACCCACUGUGAGCAUUUUAAUCAUUAUCCUUUUGGCCUUUUCUCUAUACACUCUUCAUGUCGUUUUUAGCCCUUCCUUCAUAUAAAAUUAGGACCAUAUUCUAGAUUCUGUUUUAUAACUGCUUUUUACAGCUUUCACCAUUAUGCAGUCGACAACCUUCCCAUGUCAUUAGCAUUCUUUUACUGCAUUUAAAGGGUUGCUAACUGUCCACUUGGAGUUCCAUCAUCUACAUAAAAAAUCAUCUCUUAUCUUCCUUCCUCCCUUCCUUCCUUCCUUCUUUCCUUCCUUUCUUUCUUGGCAUCACCAGCAGAAUAUGGAAGUUCCUGGGUCAGGCAUUGAACCUGCUGAAAAAUCAUUUUCCAUGUUUACAUUUUAUGUUACAAAAAAUCAUUUAUGAUUUUUCAGUGUCAUAAACAAUAAUAUGUGAUGAUCAUUCUUUUUUUUUUUUUUUUUUUUGGUCUUUUCAGGGCUGUACCCAUGGCAUAUGAAGUUCUCAGGCUAGGGGUCGAAUUGGUGCUGUAGGCGCUGGCCUACGCCACAGCCACAGCAAUGCCAGAUCUGAGCCAAGUUUUCGACCUACACCACAGCUCAUGGCAGCACCGGAUCCUUAACCCACUGACCGAGGCCAGGGAUAGAACCUGAGUCCUCAUGGUUUCUAGUUAGAAUCGUUUCCGCUGAGCCAUGAUAGGCACGCUCUGUGAUGAUCAUUCUUGUAGCUAAAUCUCUGCCCACAUCUGCGAUUUUUCCUUUAGACGCAAUUCUAGAAGUUGGGUGUCUGGGUAUAAAGAGAUGUAUACUCCUGAGGUUUAGACAUCUCCCAGUUAAUUUUUUAACAGUGGCAUAACAGUUUGCACUGAGAGUAUGAACUGAAAUAGAUUCCUGUCAGGUGGUUCUUAGAAUCCUGAGAGUGGAGUUCCGUUGUGGUGCAGUGGAAACGAAUCUGACUACUGUCCAUGAAGAUGUGGCUUCAAUCUCUGGUCUCAGUGGGUAGGAGAUCUGGCAUUGCCAUGAGCUGUGGUGUAGGUCGCAGACAUGGCUUGGAUCCUGCAUCGCUGUGGCUGUGGUAGAGGCCUCAGCUGUAGCUCCCAUUUGACCCCUAGCCUGGGAACUUCCAUAUGCUCUGGGUGUGGCCAAAAAGAAAAAAAAAAAAAAUCCUGAGAGCAACAACAGUGACAGCAAUGACAAUGUUAAUAAUUGUCUGGUACCUGUUACAUCUCUUCAUUUAUUUCCCAGCAAAAACCUAGCUAGAUGGGGAUUAAUUGGUACCUUUGACAAACAAAGACACAGGUUCAAGAGAAGGACCGUAUUCAAGUUCUUUCAGAAGAAGGCUGGAUGCAAAGCUGGACCUGUCUAACCCAAAGCCCUCUGCCCACUCCAUGGUGUCUUCUAGGGACUGGAAAAUCCUUUUGCUGUACUGUACCAGGGAGCCCAACUGGGCUAGUGACCCCGGUAAGCUACAAUAGCAGUGGUUAAUAAUGAUCAUAGUAAGAGCUAAUACUCAACUGAUGCUAAUAGACUGAAUAGGAAAGCAAGUGGGAUUGAGAGACGGAAAAAAAGAAUGAAUCUGGAAGGGUGGGUGCAUACGGGGAGGGAUUCUGAGUCAGAUGGAAGUUACAAGAAGAUAAAAAAUUGAAAUCGCAUGUCAACCCACUUGUUGCUGACAUGUCACGAGCUUGUACAAGCUUCCUCAGUCACCAGGACACCAGGCUGUUGGCCUCAUUCCCCUGUAGUAACAUUGAUAAGUACAUUCCACUGAGACCAGAUGUAGCUGUGAGAGGCCAGGAGCUCGUUUACUAGAAGACACAAAAGGGGUGGAGGGGUUGGUGCAAAUUUUCAAUCGUGUCUUGGAGUUUUUGUGAAAGGCCAAGAUGGGAAACUUUCUGGGGAUGUUCCAGUGAAAUUCUGGAUCAAGCUGCAUACGUUUUUCCAUGAAGCUAUUAGGGCUGGCUACUCAAAAAUAGCAAGAGAACUCGUGUGUGUGUGUGUGUGUGUGUUUGUGUGUGUGUGUGUUUGUGUGUGUGUGUGUGUGUGUGUGUGUUUGAGUGAGAGAGAGAGAGAAAGAGGGAGAAAGAGAGCAUGAGCACAUGGGGACAUCCAUGCAAGAAACACUGUGAUUGACAAGUUUGGGGGAAACUGAAUAAUUUUUAACCAUUUGAUAAUUUGUUCUUAGUCCUGCUCCCUGCUGACUUACAUUUCCAUACAUGUUCUGCUUGUCAACUGAUAGGGUAAGUAGCUGGGAAGGUAUAGAGAAGAGAAGGGGAAGGGUGAGAAAAGGCUUUGGAUGCCACAAAUAGAGUUUCUAAUCCAAAUUUAGCCACCAAUCAGAUUUACAUAAGAGAACAAUAGCUAACAUGUAUUUCAGGAUCUGUGUUAAGUGCAUCUUCUAUAUCAUUUAACUUUCAAAGCCGCUCCACAGCAGAGAUUCUCCCAGGGUCCCUGUUUUAUAGAUGAGGAAACUGAAGAUCAGGAGGCCUAGGAAAAAUUUAUGGAAGAUAUAGGCAGAUUUGAGUUGGGGGCCAUCUAAAUUCAACAUUCUACUCUUCCUAUUUUUUUUUUUUUCCUGUUUAGGGCUGUACCGCGGCAUAUGGAGAUUUCCAGGCUAGGGGUCGAAUUUGAGGUACUGCUGCCAGCCUCCACCAUAGCCACAGCGAUGCAGGAUCCUAGCCACUUUUGUGACUUACACCACAGCUCACAGCAAUGCCAGAUCUUUAACCCAUUGAUCAGGGCCAGGGAUCAAACCCACAUCCUCAUGGAUACUAGUCGAGUUCAUUACCACUGUGCCACAACUGGAACUCCAACAUUCUACUCUUCUGAAUGGCAUGACUUGGAGAGAAUUUUUAAGUCAGGCCUCAGUUUCUGUUCUUUAAAGUAGAGAUGAACACAGCUGACCCAGGCUACCGUCAGGGGACCUAAAUUAAGUGUAGUAUUUCACACCAGAGUCUGGCGCAUAAUAGGUCCUCAGUGAAUGUUACUUAUUCUCCUUGCCCAGGACUUUCAGAAGGGGAGAGGACAUAGGAAAAACCAAACCAAACCAAAAACCUGACUAGACUGGACAGAGGGCAUUGCUAUAAAAAAGAAGAAAAGUUCAGAUUCACCUUAGAUUCAAGAAUGCAAACAGGAUAAAGGACACUGGGCUCAGAACCACACAUAGACUGAUUUAGCCACAAGCUUGUGGAGGUGAGGGUAUUGUGUCUAAUUGGCAAAUGAAGAAGUGGUGCCCUAAAAGACUAAAUACCUUUCCCUAAGUCCUUUUGCUGGGAUUUUCUCCAAGGAGUGAACCUACUUGUUAUGCUUUUAUUUAUUUAUUUAUGUAUUUUUUGAGGAAGAAUGUACAUACCAUGGAAGUCACCUCUAGAAGUAUACAGUCUACUCUAUUCACAGAGAAGUGCAACCAUCACCACUAUGCAACUGUCUAAGUCCAGAGAAUUUUCAUUGCCCCAAAGAGAAUCUGCUGACUCAUGAACAGUCACUCCCAUUCCUCCCUCCCUUGGACCCAGCAGGCAGUUUGAAGAGUGGUCCUCGAUGUGGCUGCAAACAUGUCUAUUUCCUUCUUCCCAACCAACCAAUGGAGUGAGGGACUCUCCCCAUGCAGACUGAAGAGGUGUGAACUGAAGUCUGGCACUUGCCAUCAGCCUCUGCAUGGAGUAAAACAUGAGCCACUGAAGCUGCAGACCCGCAGCACUGCCUGAGUGGAGCUCAGCGUGGAGACCAGGCGUGAGGCUCUCUGUGCUCUGGGAAAACUGGAAGAACAGGCCUUCAGAUAGUUAGAUAUUUUUUUGGAGAAGCUUUUAUGAGCCCAAUUCUUGCAUCUCCUCAUAUCUAGAAAAACACUAAAAUCCUUCAAUGAUGACUGAUGUCUGUGACUAGUAUAUCUAGGAAAACACUACGCAUAUCUAGAAAAACACUAAAAUCCUUCAAUGAUGACUUCUAUAAAAUAUAUGCAUGGCUGCAUGCACUCCCCCUUCACCUUUAUGACUUAUAUAUUGAUACAGCCCUCUUUCCUCUUUAGGGUGGUAUUUCAGACCUAUCUGAAAUACUGCCUCAUGGGCUGUAGUUAGAGGACGAAACGAAAGAUAUCAUGGUCAUCUGCAACCACAACCACUCCCAAGGACGGGCCACUGAGCCCUGAGGGAACUCAGGGAAGAAACGAAGAAGACUGGCCCACAGUUGAGGUGCACAUCAAAGGAGCAACUCCAGGAAGCCCACACUUUGACAUCUUCCCAUAGAAACUGGUUUUCUGUCAAUCUGGUUAUCUGUAAAUCUUUUGUUCCUACUACCUUCCCUUUGUUGCAAAACUCACAUGGCACCCCCCACCUCACCUGCUCAGAGUGGUUUCUCAGGGCUACCUGAGAUGCUGUCUCUUGGGCUUAAGUCCUAAUGUCACCCCAAAUAAAACUUAACUCU